This 161-nucleotide small RNA is filed under the name Streptomyces clavuligerus. RNAcentral's name for it is "c-di-AMP sequence". It matches the Rfam family "c-di-AMP riboswitch aptamer (ydaO/yuaA leader)". From Rfam's summary of the family: This family represents a conserved RNA structure found upstream of the ydaO and yuaA genes in Bacillus subtilis and related genes in other bacteria. The ydaO/yuaA element is thought to act as a genetic "off" switch for the ydaO and yuaA genes in its native state. Lineage: Bacteria; Bacillati; Actinomycetota; Actinomycetes; Kitasatosporales; Streptomycetaceae. The record is from RNAcentral.
GGACAGCCAUCGCCGAGUCCCCACCGGGUGCGAGCCCAGGGGAGCCGGGGACCCACCGUCCCCAGGGGUGAAUCGGGCGCCUUCGCACCGCGGAGGGGUCCGUAGGAGACCUUCCUGCUCCGAACCCGUCAGCUAACCCGGUAGGCGAGAAGGAAGGAAAG